UACGAAGGGGGCUAGCGUUGCUCGGAAUGACUGGGCGUAAAGGGCGCGUAGGCGGCUCAUACAGUCAGAUGUGAAAUUCCUGGGCUUAACCUGGGGGCUGCAUUUGAUACGUGUGGGCUUGAGUGGGGAAGAGGGUCGUGGAAUUCCCAGUGUAGAGGUGAAAUUCGUAGAUAUUGGGAAGAACACCGGUGGCGAAGGCGGCGACCUGGUCCUUGACUGACGCUGAGGCGCGAAAGCGUGGGGAGCGAACGGG
This 253-nucleotide ribosomal RNA is filed under the name uncultured bacterium. Its description in RNAcentral is "partial 16S ribosomal RNA". It matches the Rfam family "Bacterial small subunit ribosomal RNA", at positions 524 to 776 of the family's 1533-position model. The record is from RNAcentral.